RNAcentral lists this ribosomal RNA (255 nucleotides) under uncultured bacterium. Its description in RNAcentral is "partial 16S ribosomal RNA". It matches the Rfam family "Bacterial small subunit ribosomal RNA", at positions 793 to 1055 of the family's 1533-position model. The record is from RNAcentral.
GUCCGCACCGUAAACGAUGAUUACUCGUUGUUGGCAAUAUGACCGUCAGCGACCAAGCGAAAGCGAUAAGUAAUCCACCUGGGAGUACGCCGGCAACGGUGAACUCAAGGAAUUGACGGGGCCCGCACAAGCGGAGGAGCAUGUGGUUUAAUUCGAUGAUACGCGAGGAACCUUACCUGGGCUUGAAAGUUAGUGACCGGUCCUGAAAGGGAUCUUCCAGCAAUGGCGCGAAACUAGGUGCUGCAUGGCUGUCGU